This is a non-coding RNA of Bartonella rochalimae ATCC BAA-1498, 74 nucleotides long. The record is from Rfam. Lineage: Bacteria; Pseudomonadati; Pseudomonadota; Alphaproteobacteria; Hyphomicrobiales; Bartonellaceae.
GCACCCGUAGCUCAGCUGGAUAGAGCACCAGACUACGAAUCUGGGGGUCAGGAGUUCGAAUCUCUUCGGGUGCA